Papaver somniferum (opium poppy) is the source of this 2505-nucleotide long non-coding RNA. RefSeq lists it as uncharacterized. The record is from RefSeq and is a predicted model, not a curated record. The transcript is spliced from 2 exons. Lineage: Eukaryota; Viridiplantae; Streptophyta; Magnoliopsida; Ranunculales; Papaveraceae.
CUCUCAUCUCCCUAUCUCGAUUCUCUUCUUAUUCUCUUCUACCUGCUGUUUUUUCUUCUUCGUUCUAACCUGCACGUUUGAUUAUUUUUAUUUUUGUUUAUUUUUUGUAUCACAGGAUAUAAUACACGGAUCUACAAGAUAUGGAUGUGCUAGAGGUUUUUUCAUAGGUUGUGGAUUUAAUGUUGAUUUAUUUUCGUAACUGCUGAAGCGCAAAACAGGCGUUAAGGUUGAUUUAGCUGUAUUUUAAUAUUGUGAGGGUUUUUCAGUUACUAAUUUAGUUGCAUUAAGAUGAUUAUCUGCUUACUUGGGUUUAUCGUAGUGAGUUCUUAGUUAAGGUCCAAAUUGCUUUAAUAUAUAAGGUUGAACACUAAUUGUAAUUCUGCGAAUUAUAAUUACUUCAUGUGCUUUAGUCCCUAUGUUGCUAUUAUUGGAAAAUUUCAACUAGCUCAUUGAUAUUUGGAAACCUAACACCCUACAUCCGGUUCUUCUUUGUGGAACUGAAUUUCACCCAUUGACAGAUAUGUAGCUCCAUAAAACUGAAUUUCCCCUUAAACUGAAUUUGAACCAUUCACGGCCCUUUAAUAGUGAAGCUGGUAUUAGGAGGGUUAUUAUUGAUAGUGAAGCACGUCAUAAUCGAUAUUUAGAUACACAGAAUCAAGAAUGCAAAUCCACUUAUUUUUACCUUUUAGGUUUAAAAUCCCUGAUGUGGGUUAUUAAUUGAUAUAUAAUAGGUUGCUGAUUUUGUCCUAUUACGCGGAAAAUUCCAUAUCUCCUCUGCUGUGUUGGAACUCCUGCUAUUCUUCUCAUUGUUUAUACUCUUUGAGGUAAGAAACCUUAGCUACUAUAUUUCUACCAUAUUUUUUGUUGCAGGGUUUAAGAAAUAUCAUGUUAGACCGAAGCUAUGAUGUUUAAAAUCUAUGCUGAACUACGUCAUUUAUGAACUAAAAAUACUUAUGAUGUUAGCACUGUAUGAUGUAUUUUUUGACUAAAUGUUUGGAUUACACAAGUUAUAGAAAUGUAUAGAUUAGUGUUUGCUAAUAUUUCUCUCUCGCGGAAUGAUCAAAAAUAAUAACAAUGAUAAUAAAAUGGUUUCUCUCCACUUUCUCCAUAGGCUGCACGAAAGCCUAAUGAAGCAAAAGAGUUUUACUAAGAUAAUGCAGCGUAAUUGGUUUGGGUCAAGUUGCAACUUAUGAUGCAGCCAAGCUAAGCUGGUAAAAUGCUAACCAUGUUAUUAUCCAAAUUAGUACCCAUCUCACAGAAAAAUCAAUUGUUGCAGAUUUUCUUGGGAAAACUACUUAAUUGUCAUGAUGGGUUUAAUCAUUAUUAGGUUGCUAGAAUAAAUAAACAUGAUCGCAUCUAUUUUCUGUUAGAUUCAAAAAAUGACACAUCACAUCCAGCUUUUCUCACUAUCCAAUCGCAGGUGAAGUAAUUUUGUAUUAUAUUUAUAAACUUAUAAUGAAUACAAGUGAAUCUCCACACAAUACUUUGACUAAACUUACAUUGUUGACAUUGACAUUUGUGUGAUCAUUCUGGAUAUAGAUAUUAAUCUUUGGAUAGCAAAUAAAAAAAUAUUAAUCUCAACUAGCUUAUGUCUUUUCUUAUAGGUUUCAUGGGGUAACAAAUAAAAGGCACACAAGUAUAACAGAAAAGGAAAUUGCGUCCAUACGAGGUAUGAUACACUUGAUGUUGUAAUUUUGUAAAAGCAAUAUGUUUCCAUCUUUCAGAUUACAAGAGUCACUUAAAAUACUAUGGCGUGCUUCUUUUCUAUAAAUUGAUCUCGAUGGCUUGACCUCUGGAUACACUACAAAAAACACACCUAAUGAUAACAGAAAAGGAAAUUGCGUCCAUACGAGGUAUGAUAAACUUUAUGUUGUAAUUUUGUAAAAGCAAUAUGUUUCCAUCUUUCAGAUUACAAGAGUCACUUAAAACACUAUGGCGUGCUUCUUUUCUAGAAAAUAAGCUCGAUGGCUUGACUUCUGGAUAUAUAGUGAAAACAUAUGGGGUGAGAACCCCAUGGUAUACCACAAUGGAGGAAUGCAGCCCAUAUGGGGUUGUAGCAAGCAAAGGUACUAUCGUUUCUUACCAUUUUAUUGUGAAAAUUAGGACGACAUAUAUUUUGACUUCAUAAGUAGUUGGGAGUUGGGAAAUACAUAUAUAGCCUCAGUUCACGGAAGAAUGAAUAUGAACGGAGUGGAGUUAGAGAUACAGUUGGAAGUGACAAUGAAUCAUAAGAAGAUGGCCAGGCUGUGGGGAGUUAGAUUGGUGGUUCAGCUGCUGCUCUUGGCGCCUCUUGUUGUUAGAUUUAUAUGAUCAGUUAGAGUUUUUUUUCUAUGUGCUUUUUCUACAUCAUCUUAUGUUCUGUUUCAUCGUGUGUAUGGAAAAAAAAUAAGCUAGCCAGAUUUGUAUGUUGUUUUUGAUAGGACACAGUUAUGAGAUCAAUAAUAUUAAGAUGUGAAGGGAUUGAACCAAACCUAAUUAUAUUAAACCUACUGAUAGAUGCAUUAA